AUGCAUUGCUCCGCCGUGCUCUUCUUCCUCCUCGUCCUCCCCCGACCCCGUCCAGCCGCGGCCGUCGGCGCCCCCGCCCCCGCCCCCGGCAGGAGCAUGAGCAUCACGCCGCCCCCCCUCCUGCCGUGCCUGGAGGAGGUGCUGCCGUGCACGGCGUACCUCAAGUCGGCGGGGCGCCCCGCGCCGACGUGCUGCACCGCCCUGGGCCGCGCCGCGGCCACCGAGAUGUCGUGCAUCUGCCAGCUGCUCGCCGACCCGGGGAUGCUCGCCGACUUCAACGUCAGCAGAGAGCAGGCGCUGGCGCUGCCCACGCGCUGCCGCCUUCCCGUCGGCUGCCGUGACAGCUCCGUCGGCAUGCCCGACCCAGUUGUGCAGGCGCCGCCGCCGCCGCCGCCCGCCAUUCGGACGGCGCCGCGCAAUACUCACGCCGGCGAUCCGUCACCGUUGGGCGGCGACCGGUGCAGGACAGGAAGCGCCUGGCGCGCUGUCUGGACGAUGCUGUUUGGCGAGUUGUUCUCGAUCGCUGUGUUGCUUUAG
This 537-nucleotide ribosomal RNA is filed under the name Triticum aestivum (bread wheat). Its description in RNAcentral is "partial small subunit ribosomal RNA". The record is from RNAcentral. Lineage: Eukaryota; Viridiplantae; Streptophyta; Magnoliopsida; Poales; Poaceae.